AAGUGUAGCAGUUAGCAAAGAAACUUGCUUGUUAUCAUGAAGUAUAAUUAUCAUCUUAGCAUCAAAGAAUCCUUCAGUGUUCAUAGUUUCAUAAGCUUGGCCUGCAGUCAUUGCCCCAUCUUCGAUCACCAAAAUGACGUUGUUGUUCUUGCAACUGCCAUGCCUACCAAUUUUUUUAAACCAGGAACAAAGAGGUAUGAGAGUUUCUUUCCACUAUUUUAUGUCUACACUUGUUACAUGAAAUGAGUUUGUGUUUAAGAUAACUUACCAAAACCAGCAUAUAUACUUGUAGAACUAUGCCCUAUCCCAAAAGUAUCAUAUAUCAAUAAAUUCUCUGUUCUUCUCUAUUGUAUAAUUUGCACACAAAAUUCUUACUGCAGUUCACUAUCACAUCAUCAAAUUCGGUUCUUGAAAAAAAGCUGUUCAAAAAAUUGCCCAAAAGACACAUUGUUACUUGGAAUUCAACGAUUUAUUCUCAUGACAGCCAUGCGAAGAGCAAAGAAGCCAUUGGGCUUACAGUGACAAGCUUGUGGGAUGUGUUUU
RNAcentral lists this long non-coding RNA (543 nucleotides) under Lupinus angustifolius (narrow-leaved blue lupine). Its description in RNAcentral is "long non-coding RNA (LANG_LNC002893)". The record is from RNAcentral. Lineage: Eukaryota; Viridiplantae; Streptophyta; Magnoliopsida; Fabales; Fabaceae.